GUGGACACUGGACAGUGGUGUUUGAUUUUUGCGUAAUGUAAAAUAAUAUACAUUCACAGUUACAGCUAAUUGUUAAUCACUUACUAAAUGUAAGAUAAUCUUAUAAGUGUCAGAGUGUCAGUGUGUGGCAUGACAUAAUUAUUAAAAUGAAACCAGAUCCAUAUUUUAUAAUUAUAUCUACUUCACCAACUGUUCACUCGAACUUACAAUAAUCUGUCUAUAAAAAAUUAAUUUAUAUUUAUAUUAAAUAAAUCAUGUCAGAAUAUCAUCAAAACUACCAAUUCACACAUUUAAUCUUCGGUAAUUGUAUAUAAAAUAAAUUAUAAAUUAAUUUAUCGUCACUUUGGAGUUGGAAAGAAUUUAACAUUUUUAUCAGUACCUACCUAAGUUGAUAUAAAUUUAAUUGAAUCUCAUAAGCUAAAGUAUUUUUAUCUGCUAUAUUAUCCAGG
Molecule: non-coding RNA, 449 nt
Organism: Cinara cedri
Lineage: Eukaryota; Metazoa; Arthropoda; Insecta; Hemiptera; Aphididae
Source: the annotation of a GenBank genome assembly